GGCGGCGCGCCUAACACAUGCAAGUCGAGCGAUAACCAGGGCUUGCCCUGGGGACAGCGGCGAACGGGUGCGUAACACGUGAGCAACCUGCCCCAAAGACCGGGACAACCCGAGGAAACUCGGACUAAUACCGGAUGCCCUCACCGGGUCGCAUGGUCUGGUGAGGAAAUGGAUUCCGCUUUGGGAUGGGCUCGCGGUCUAUCAGCUUGUUGGUGGGGUAACGGCCUACCAAGGCGACGACGGAUAGCUGGUCUGAGAGGACGAUCAGCCACACUGGGACUGAGACACGGCCCAGACUCCUACGGGAGGCAGCAGUGGGGAAUCUUGCGCAAUGGGGGAAACCCUGACGCAGCGACGCCGCGUGCGGGAUGAANGCCUUCGGGUUGUAAACCGCUUUCAGCAGGGACGAAAUUGACGGUACCUGCAGAAGAAGGCCGGCCAACUACGUGCCAGCAGCCGCGGUAAUACGUAGGGGCCUAGCGUUGUCCGGAAUUAUUGGGCGU
Molecule: ribosomal RNA, 503 nt
Filed under: uncultured Actinomycetes bacterium
Lineage: Bacteria; Bacillati; Actinomycetota; Actinomycetes
Description: bacterial SSU rRNA
Rfam family: Bacterial small subunit ribosomal RNA
Source: RNAcentral